This 397-nucleotide ribosomal RNA is filed under the name uncultured bacterium. Its description in RNAcentral is "partial 16S ribosomal RNA". It matches the Rfam family "Bacterial small subunit ribosomal RNA", at positions 523 to 918 of the family's 1533-position model. The record is from RNAcentral.
AUACGUAGGUGACAAGCGUUAUCCGGAUUUACUGGGCGUAAAGGGCGUGUAGGCGGUCUUGCAAGUCAGAAGUGAAAUUCCUGAGCUCAACUCGGGCGCUGCUUCUGAAACUGCAGGACUUGAGUGCUGGAGGGGAUAGCGGAAUUCCUAGUGGAGCGGUAAAAUGCGCAGAUAUUAGGAAGAACACCGGUGGCGAAGGCGGCUACCUGGACAGUAACUGACGCUGAGGCGCGAAAGCGUGGGGAGCAAACAGGAUUAGAUACCCUGGUUGUCCACGCCGUAAACGAUGAAUACUAGGUGUAGGGGGUAUCGACUCCCUCUGUGCCGCAGUUAACACAAUAAGUAUUCCGCCUGGGGAGUACGGCCGCAAGGUUGAAACUCAAAUGAAUUGACGGGG